RNAcentral lists this ribosomal RNA (335 nucleotides) under uncultured Glomeromycotina. RNAcentral describes it as "eukaryotic LSU rRNA". The record is from RNAcentral. Lineage: Eukaryota; Fungi; Glomeromycota.
UUUGAAAGGGAAACGAUUGAAGUCAGUCGUACCGGCGGGUAAUCAGCCUUUUGGGUGUGAUUAUGUGGGGCGUGAGGAGUUAAUCACCCUCAUCUUUGCAUAUUCGUGCACUUUGGGUGUACUUGCUCGUGUGGUAGGUUAACAUCAAUUUUGAUUAUCAUAAAAUGAUUGAAGGAAUGUAGCUUCGAUCUUGUAUUGAAGUGUUAUAGCCUUUGGUAGAUGUGAUGAUCGAGAUUGAGGAUUGCAACGGAUACCCUUCGGGCUACCUGUCUGAUCUCUGAAAGUUGCUCUGGUGCUGAAAGCUUGCUUAUGGUAUCAAAGUGACGUCAAUAGUG